Molecule: ribosomal RNA, 254 nt
Filed under: uncultured bacterium
Lineage: Bacteria
Description: partial 16S ribosomal RNA
Rfam family: Bacterial small subunit ribosomal RNA
Source: RNAcentral
UACGUAGGGUGCGAGCGUUGUCCGGAAUUAUUGGGCGUAAAGAGCUCGUAGGCGGUCUGUCGCGUCGGUCGUGAAAACUUGGGGCUUAACCCUGAGCUUGCGGUCGAUACGGGCAUGACUGGAGUUCGGCAGGGGAGACUGGAAUUCCUGGUGUAGCGGUGAAAUGCGCAGAUAUCAGGAGGAACACCGGUGGCGAAGGCGGUUCUCUGGGCAUUACCUGACGCUGAGGAGCGAAAGUGUGGGGAGCGAACAGG